CCUACGGGGCGCAGCAGUAGGGAAUAUUGCUCAAUGGGGGAAACCCUGAAGCAGCAACGCCGCGUGGAGGAUGAAGGUUUUCGGAUUGUAAACUCCUUUUGUUAGAGAAGAUAAUGACGGUAUCUAACGAAUAAGCACCGGCUAACUCCGUGCCAGCAGCCGCGGUAAUACGGAGGGUGCAAGCGUUACUCGGAAUCACUGGGCGUAAAGAGCGCGUAGGCGGGAUAGCAAGUCAGAUGUGAAAUCCUAGGGCUUAACCAUAGAAAUGCAUUUGAAACUGUUAUUCUAGAGUAUGGGAGAGGUAGGUGGAAUUCUUGGUGUAGGGGUAAAAUCCGUAGAGAUCAAGAGGAAUACUCAUUGCGAAUGCGACCUGCUAGAACAUAACUGACGCUGAUGCGCGAAAGCGUGGGGAGCAAACAGGAUUAGAUACCCGAGUAGUC
Molecule: ribosomal RNA, 440 nt
Filed under: uncultured bacterium
Lineage: Bacteria
Description: partial 16S ribosomal RNA
Rfam family: Bacterial small subunit ribosomal RNA
Source: RNAcentral